Molecule: long non-coding RNA, 964 nt
Organism: Pantherophis guttatus
Lineage: Eukaryota; Metazoa; Chordata; Lepidosauria; Squamata; Colubridae
Source: RefSeq, a predicted model, not a curated record
UUAUCCCAGCUACAGUAAGAGUCCAAAAGAAAAUGGAUGAUUAUCAUUUGGAAGAAGAAGAAAUCUUUACAACUCCUGUUCUCCAGCAGUGUACACCACAUGGAUUCUGAAAACCACUAGCAGUGGAUGUUGACUGCCUACUGAGGGUUCAUGCUCAAGAGGUGUUCUCCUUAAGGUGGAUCAAGAGCAGAAUUGGAGCUAUUUUAUCUGGACCUAAUUAAACAACCGUCAUUACUGGCAGGCAGUAUUCACAUGUAUGGAUCCUCCCUCCAAUUUUACCGACAAGAAUCCAGUGAAGUGGACUGAGAAUAUAAUUGGCCCAAAGUCACCCAGCUGCUUAUGCCUAAACUAGGAAUAAAACUCAACAAUCUUCUGGUUUCUAGCUCAGAAUCCUGGCCCCUUCAUAAGACUGGAUCUCUAUGUUCUGCCUUAAAAUUUUUGUCUCCUAUUUAGGAAUGCUUAGAAACUGGUCCUGUAUGGAAACCAACUGACAUUGCUUUCCAAAGGUUGAACUAAUGCUUACUUCUAGAAGAACAGGGGUGGGGUGCGGAGCUAAUAAUUGGAACUGCUGACAAAAGGAAUUCAGGGUGAAAUAAAUGCCUGUCUACUGUCUAAGACCGUCAAAAUUAAACCCAGGAAGUAGAAAUUUAUUACCACCUGUCCUAGAGACAAAUAUGUAAGAUGAAUGUGCAGCCUACCAUUCAGGAUGACAUCUGAGGGAGGUUUAUUGUCUGUCAUCAGAGUUAUUGCAAAAAGAGGAACUGAGGCAGUUGCCCUAAUUCCAUCCUAGUUAUUGAGAAAUUGUUUAGGCACCCUAGAGGGUCAGGAUCCUAGAUCCUAUGGAAAUGUUUCUCUUCUAUUUAAACUGCCACUGACUGUUCUGCAGGGAAAGCCCCUUUCUCUUUUGAAGGACUUGGAAGAGUACCAGCAGGGUCAAACACCAGAAAAACUCCUUUAGCCUUAA